Molecule: long non-coding RNA, 3606 nt
Organism: Canis lupus familiaris (dog)
Lineage: Eukaryota; Metazoa; Chordata; Mammalia; Carnivora; Canidae
Exons: 3
Source: RefSeq, a predicted model, not a curated record
CUUCCUUCCAGCUGUGGUCGGGUCUGUUCCUUUGUAGGACGCUUUUGUGUCUUUUCUCCUUCCCUCUCUUGCAGGUUCCUGAAGCGUGACUCCCUGUCACAGAGCCAGUAGCCAUCUCUCCUCCCCCCCUCCUCCCGAGUGCCCUCUCACACACAGCCUCAGAGCAGCCACUGCCCCCAGCCCGCCCCACGCAGCUUUGCUGGUCACCAGGGGCCUCUGCCAGCAGUAGACAACACCCCUGCCCUGCCCCGAGGAUCCCGAGAUCUCAGUGGCUCACAAGCCCUCCCUGGGAUUAGGAGAACUUUAGACUCCACUUUAAGGGACCACUGCACACCAUCCCCGUUGGCUCAGCACAGGGUCCCAGGCACCAUCAUCACUGCUGUCGAUAGUGAACUUAAUGCCAGGAAAGCACAUCGACCAGACUGCCCCCCAACCCCCUGCUGAGGAGCACAGGCGCCCCCCGGGGCCGCUUUUCCACAGCUUGAGUCGGGGAGAAGAGACUUGUAGCCGAAUCCUCGUUCACGCUGCAUGCCUUGAUACUUGUACACUGAGCCCAAAGCGGCGUUGUCUGAGCACAGACCAGGUGUGUCCUAAACACGGUCUCUCUCAGCCUUUGCGCCCUCCCCUCCGCCCUCUGCCCCGGCUAUUUCUACCUGAAUGAGUUUAAUGGUGCAUGAGCAUCUUUUUUUUCUUUUUUCCAUUUUGUUGAUUUUUUUUUUUUUAAUUUGUCUGCUUCAUACCCUCGCAAACAAGUCAGGGGCCACCUUCUAGCUCCUUAGUGAGGGAGAGCAGCCGAGGGGGCCGGCCCAGGGUAACGCUCCUGUUUCUCUCACCCAUCAGCAGAUUAAUGCCGCUGCUCAUUUUGCCUUGCAGCCUCUCCGGGGCGGACGCUGAGCUGGGACUUGGCUCAGAGUGGGAGGACAGGACCUCUGCUUGCUUCCCAAUGCUGUGUUUGGACUUGCCAACUAACCCCAGAGUGACUGUGUUUUGUUUCAGGAUGGCACACUGGCUGGCAUCUCCUUUCCAAUCUCUUGUGCCCGGCGUGCAAGCCCCACCCAGCCGCGCUGGCCCCAGCCGUGCAGGAAGGGGCAGGCUCUUUGUGACUUCCAGCCUCAUGGACAGCUUGGGUCUCCCACCCCCAGUGCUUGGGUCCUCUCUGUCCAAGCACAGGGGUCAGGGGCAUGAGCUCUGGGGUAAAGGGGCAUGUCCAGUGGCUUCUUCAGGCCAAGGGAGGUCUUUGUGCUACCACUCUUGGCAAAUUCUGGUGCUGGCAGUGACCAGCAUCCUAGGGCUUUGGUCCCUGCUACAGACCAGCUGGAGAGCACAGAGCGGGCAGGAUGCAGGGGCAGGUUGGUACUCAGUGAUGGCCCAGCCCUGGGCUAGAGAGAUGCGGGCCAGAGGAGCACAGGAGUCCUUUGACUGUCUUUAGAGACCUUACGUGUAAAACCAAACUUUUUCACAACAGAGGACACCACUUGGUGAGAACCCAAAAGUCAUGAAGGCUUCUUAGGCCAAAAAAGAAGGAAGAAGAACAUUCCAGGCAAAGGGUGGAUUGCCUGGAAUGUUCUAGAAUACAAAGAAUGUUCUGGAAUGUUCUAGAACACUCCAGACAAGGCAUGGGUUGCCUGGAAUGAAAAGUUGGGACAGAGACCAUCAUAAGCAGUGUGGAGGGAAAGAGAGCCUUCCCAGAGAUGGGUGUGAGCUGGGGUGAGGUAGGCAGGCAAGUCCAAUCCCUGGGCUACAGCCCUGGGCUUGGUCUGAGGAUGUGGGGACCAUCGAGAGCAGUGGGAACAGGAUGGCCACCUGAAGGUGAAAGAACUGUAGGAUGUGCCUCAGUGACCCUAUCUGGAAAGGAUGGGGGCGCUGGAGCUAAGAGGCAGUCCCUGGAAGGGAGAGGGCACCCCCUCGCCCCCGGGGAGCUAAGAGACCUGGGUCCUACACCGGACUCUGCCACUUGUCCUAUGACCCUAGGCAAGUCACGUCCUCUCUCUCAGGCCUCAGGUUUUCUCAUCUGUAAAACAGGAGGUUGGUUCCAACGACAUCCAGGUUUCCUUCAGGCUCCAGCAUCCCCGAGUGGCAGUGUCGGGGGGUGGGCACGGCCAGCCCUGCAGAGGCUUCCCAUGUACCAGCCCCAGGAUGUGAGAAAGGUGAGGUCACAGGGUGGGACGUGGGUCCAAGGACCACUGUCAGGGCAGAGCUAGCGGGGACGGUUAAUUGAGCGUCUGGCAUGGCAGGCUUGUGGCUGACGGAUGCCCAAGUAGAGAUGCCUGGUAGGCAGCCAGAUAGAUGGAUCUGAGCCCAGAGAGGUCUGAGGUCUGGGGAGGCUCCAUGGGCGUACAGGAGGGGCACUCACGGAGGAGGGGAGGCUGAGGCCGGGCCCAGGGGCGCCCCUGUGGUUGAAGGUCCCAAGGUUAAUUUGCAGCCAUUUUAAAUUCUACUUCCCUUGUCCUAACCUUGGCGUACGUACAUCAUCGUUCCUGCCCAUAGCUGCAAACGAGUUCCUCCUGUGGGCAGGAAAGUAGACUCUGCAGAGAGGUGAUGUCCUCUCUGGCCACGUAAAAUCCUGGAGAAGUGCACACUCUCAGGAGCAGCUGGUGCUACCACGUGAUUUCAGUCUGCGUGCGACCCUGGAGACGGCGCAGCGGCCAGGGUGGCCCAGGAGGAGAGACUCUUGUCUUUUUUCCCUGACAAGGCCACGACCCAGCCCACAGGGAGACGUGUAGAGAUGUCUGAUGUCAUCCUGAAAAUCCUCCCACUAACCCUCAGAAGCAGGUACCUAGGCUGUGGCCACUUGCCCCCGUCCCCGGGAGCAGGCCGUGUCCUCUGGAGUGAGGAGCACGGGAGGGGCUCCGGGCGGCCACGGAGAAGAGCACAUGAGGCCGUCAGGAGGCGCAGAGCAAAGCGGUGCUGAGACCCCCGGCUGCCUCCGCACCCCAUUGUCAUCCCAUUGAGUCCCUGUGACAAUCAGAGGUGAAAGCACGGCAGGAAGAGGAGCCUCGGCUUUGUCCUCGGACAAUGUGUGGAAUAGGGCUGCGCCAUCACCACACCUCGCUUGCAUCCAGGCCGGAGGGGACCCCACCAGGAUUCUGUGGACUGAGCCCCAGGCUUCAGGAAGGGGGAAGGCCAUUUUGAGUGGCCAUUAGAGCUAGUGGCGUUCUGGGGUUACAGCCUCCCAAGUCCAGAGGCACUUCUCAACCCCUCUGAGCAGGGCCUGAAUCUGCCCUGGCUGUUUUGGGGAGCCCAUGAAGAAGUCCCUUCACUUAUCCCCAGGAGCCAAGGAGCCCUCAGGCAUGGUUGGUGCCACUGGAGGCAUUGGCUAGACUCCCUGGCCCGGCAGGCUGCAGGCCCCAUCCCAGAGGACAGGGAUAGUCCUUCAGAGAUCACAGACGUACGGCCCUCCCUGCCAGCACCUGCGAACGUGGCGCCCAAGCCUGGGUGGGACAACAGGUGGAGCCCGGAGAAGAGCUGCCCCCAUCACACCAAGCGGGACAGAGACCCGGCACUCUACCUUCCAGCCGAAACCCUCUUCUCACCAAGUCUGUUGGAGCCAAUGGCACAUUUGAACUCUAUUUUCUUUUUGUAUUAAAUGAAAAUGGAUGGACACAC